Molecule: ribosomal RNA, 112 nt
Filed under: Pteropus alecto (black flying fox)
Lineage: Eukaryota; Metazoa; Chordata; Mammalia; Chiroptera; Pteropodidae
Source: RNAcentral
GUGGACGGUCUCCUUCCCUGGUUGGAAAAUAACAAUCUCGGAAGCUAAGCAGGGUCGGGCCUGGUUAGUACUUGGAUGGGAGACCACCUAGGAAGAUCGGGCGCUGUAGGCU